AAGUCGUAACAAGGUUUCCGUAGGUGAACCUGCGGAAGGAUCAUUAAUGAAAUUUAGGGUGCCUUGCCUUCAUUGGCGAGGGCCUGACCUCCAUUACCUUCACCCAUUGUGCACCAAAAAUAACAGGUUCGGAAGCAUUGUGACUGAAACUAGCGAAAGCGAAAUCGGAAGCAAAGCUUUCAACCUUCACCUUUAAACACCCAAAGUCAAUGAAUGUAAACCAAACCAAAACAAAAUAAAACUUUCAACAACGGAUCUCUUGGCUCUC
RNAcentral lists this unclassified non-coding RNA (268 nucleotides) under fungal sp. RNAcentral's name for it is "partial contains small subunit ribosomal RNA, internal transcribed spacer 1, and 5.8S ribosomal RNA". The stretch from base 1 to 46 matches the Rfam family "Eukaryotic small subunit ribosomal RNA", at positions 1786 to 1831 of the family's 1831-position model. Lineage: Eukaryota; Fungi. The record is from RNAcentral.